AGAUUGAACGCUGGCGGCAGGCCUAACACAUGCAAGUCGAGCGGUAGAGAGGUGCUUGCACCUCUUGAGAGCGGCGGACGGGUGAGUAAUGCCUAGGAAUCUGCCUAGUGGUGGGGGAUAACGUUCGGAAACGGACGCUAAUACCGCAUACGUCCUACGGGAGAAAGCGGGGGACCUUCGGGCCUCGCGCCAUUAGAUGAGCCUAGGUCGGAUUAGCUAGUUGGUGAGGUAAUGGCUCACCGGGGCGACGAUCCGUAACUGGUCUGAGAGGAUGAUCAGUCACACUGGAACUGAGACACGGUCCAGACUCCUACGGGAGCAGCAGUGGGAAUAUGGACAAUGGGCGAAAGCCUGAUCCAGCCAUGCCACGUGUGUGAAGAAGGUCUUCGGAUUGUAAAGCACUUUAAGUUGGAGAAGGUUGUAACUUAAUACGUUGCAACUUUGACGUUACCGACAAGAAUAAGCAACGGCUAACUUCGUGCCAGCAGCCG
This 491-nucleotide ribosomal RNA is filed under the name uncultured soil bacterium. RNAcentral's name for it is "bacterial SSU rRNA". It matches the Rfam family "Bacterial small subunit ribosomal RNA", at positions 26 to 517 of the family's 1533-position model. The record is from RNAcentral.